This 500-nucleotide ribosomal RNA is filed under the name uncultured bacterium. Its description in RNAcentral is "partial 16S ribosomal RNA". It matches the Rfam family "Bacterial small subunit ribosomal RNA", at positions 899 to 1397 of the family's 1533-position model. The record is from RNAcentral.
ACUCAAAUGAAUAGACGGGGGCCCGCACAAGCGGUGGAGCAUGUGGUUUAAUUCGACGCAACGCGAAGAACCUUACCAAGGCUUGACAUGGGAAAGACCGGACGAGAGAUCGUCCUUCUCCAGCAAUGGAGCUUUCCACACAGGUGCUGCAUGGCUGUCGUCAGCUCGUGUCGUGAGAUGUUGGGUUAAGUCCCGCAACGAGCGCAACCCCCGUUUUCAGUUGCCAGCAUUCAGUUGGGCACUCUGGAGAGACUGCCGCGAAUAACGCGGAGGAAGGUGGGGACGACGUCAAGUCAUCAUGGCCCUUACGUCUUGGGCUACACACGUGCUACAAUGGGCGUUACAAAGGGUCGCAAGCGCGCAAGCGGGAGCCAAUCCUCAAAAGCGCCCUCAGUUCGGAUUGAGGUCUGCAACUCGACCUCAUGAAGGUGGAAUCGCUAGUAAUCGCGGAUCAGAACGCCGCGGUGAAUACGUUCCCGGGCCUUGCACACACCGCCCGU